Long non-coding RNA from Etheostoma spectabile (orangethroat darter), 497 nucleotides. RefSeq lists it as uncharacterized. The transcript has 3 exons. NCBI's taxonomy places the organism in Eukaryota, Metazoa, Chordata, Actinopteri, Perciformes, Percidae. The record is from RefSeq and is a predicted model, not a curated record.
UUAAUUUGAAACAGGUCUUCAUUUCCCUGCCUAUCAUGCUCAUUGAAAGGUUCCUGCCAACUCUGUGGUGUUGUUUUUGUUGCUAUAUAAUUUGCUGUAUCAGGACUUUAUAUUGGACCAAUAUGCAACUUAUAUUGCAGCCAAUCUAGAGACCAGUCCUAAAAUAUUAAUUAGGGGAACUGUUUCAGAUGAUGUUUCUGCACUCUGACAUCUGACUUUAGAUAUAGGUCUUAAAGUAAAGGUCUUAAAAAGUCUUGAAUUUGACUCGAUGAAACCUGCAGAAACCCUGUUUGCUACAGUGAGUAGAUGGUCUGAUUAUUAUGUAUUGUGUAACAUACUUGUCGUCACUGAUAACUGAUCACCAUAACCACAUAUGACUAUAUGUUUUUUUGUAACUUGAGCUGGGCUAUCUAUGGUCAAAUGAAGCAUGUGGCAGGAUGUGGUAUUUGGCGUAGUUCCGUUAGCAUAACGAAUAAUGAAACCAACACACUCUCAAA